CUCCUACGGGAGGCAGCAGUAGGGAAUCUUCCACAAUGGACGCAAGUCUGAUGGAGCAAUGCCGCGUGAGUGAAGAAGGAUUUCGGUUCGUAAAACUCUGUUGCGAGGGAAGAACAAGUACGAAGUAACUACUCGUACCUUGACGGUACCUCGUUAGAAAGCCACGGCUAACUACGUGCCAGCAGCCGCGGUAAUAC
Molecule: ribosomal RNA, 197 nt
Filed under: uncultured Bacillus sp.
Lineage: Bacteria; Bacillati; Bacillota; Bacilli; Caryophanales; Bacillaceae
Description: partial 16S ribosomal RNA
Rfam family: Bacterial small subunit ribosomal RNA
Source: RNAcentral